UUAAGAUCAGGUUGCGGUUUUAGUUCUUAUACUCAAUCAUACACAUGACAUCAAGUCAUAUUCGACUCCAAAACAGUAACCAACCUUCUUCUU
RNAcentral lists this small RNA (93 nucleotides) under Arabidopsis thaliana (thale cress). Its description in RNAcentral is "ATSL267760". The record is from RNAcentral. Lineage: Eukaryota; Viridiplantae; Streptophyta; Magnoliopsida; Brassicales; Brassicaceae.